This 759-nucleotide ribosomal RNA is filed under the name uncultured archaeon. RNAcentral describes it as "bacterial SSU rRNA". It matches the Rfam family "Archaeal small subunit ribosomal RNA", at positions 102 to 859 of the family's 1478-position model. The record is from RNAcentral.
GGAUAACCUGCCCUUGGGACCGGCAUAACCCCGGGAAACUGGGGAUAAUUCCGGAUAACGCACAUAUGCUGGAAUGCUUUAUGCGUGAAAUGGAUUCGUCUGCCCAAGGAUGGGUCUGCGGCCUAUCAGGUAGUAGUGGGUGUAAUGGACCUACUAGCCUACAACGGGUACGGGUUGUGAGAGCAAGAGCCCGGAGAUGGAUUCUGAGACAUGAAUCCAGGCCCUACGGGGCGCAGCGGGCGCGAAAACUUUACAAUGCGGGAAACCGUGAUAAGGGGACACCGAGUGCCAGCAUCAUAUGCUGGCUGUCCAGGUGUGUAAAAUACACCUGUUAGCAAGGGCCGGGCAAGACCGGUGCCAGCCGCCGCGGUAACACCGGCGGCCCGAGUGGUGAUCGUGAUUAUUGGGUCUAAAGGGUCCGUAGCCGGUUUGGUCAGUCCUCCGGGAAAUCUGACAGCUCAACUGUUAGGCUUUCGGGGGAUACUGCCAGACUUGGAACCGGGAGAGGUAAGAGGUACUACAGGGGUAGGAGUGAAAUCUUGUAAUCCCUGUGGGACCACCUGUGGCGAAGGCGUCUUACCAGAACGGGUUCGACGGUGAGGGACGAAAGCUGGGGGCACGAACCGGAUUAGAUACCCGGGUAGUCCCAGCCGUAAACGAUGCUCGCUAGGUGUCAGGCAUGGCGCGACCGUGUCUGGUGCCGCAGGGAAGCCGUGAAGCGAGCCACCUGGGAAGUACGGCCGCAAGGCUGAAACUUAA